AACCAGCACCUCAAGUGGUCAGGAUGAUUAUUGGGCCUAAAGCAUCCGUAGCCGGCUCUGUAAGUUUUCGGUUAAAUCUGUACGCUCAACGUACAGGCUGCCGGGAAUACUGCAGAGCUAGGGAGUGGGAGAGGUAGACGGUACUCGGUAGGAAGGGGUAAAAUCCUUUGAUCUAUUGAUGACCACCUGUGGCGAAGGCGGUCUACCAGAACACGUCCGACGGUGAGGGAUGAAAGCUGGGGGAGCAAACCGGAUUAGAUACCCGGGUAGUCCCAGCUGUAAACUAUGCAAACUCAGUGAUGCAUUGGCUUGUGGCCAAUGCAGUGCUGCAGGGAAGCCGUUAAGUUUGCCGCCUGGGAAGUACGUACGCAAGUAUGAAACUUAAAGGAAUUGGCGGGGGAGCACCACAAGGGGUGAAGCCUGCGGUUCAAUUGGAGUCAACGCCAGAAAUCUUACCCGGAGAGACAGCAGAAUGAAGGUCAAGCUGAAGACUUUACCAGACAAGCUGAGAGGUGGUGCAUGGCCGUCGCCAGCUCGUGCCGUGAGAUGUCCUGUUAAGUCAGGUAACGAGCGAGAUCCCUGCCUCUAGUUGUCACCAUUGCUCUCAGGAGCAGUGGGGCGAAUUAGCGGGACCGCCGUAGUUAAUACGGAGGAAGGAAGGGGCCACGGCAGGUCAGUAUGCCCCGAAACUCUGGGGCCACACGCGGGCUGCAAUGGUAACGACAAUGGGUUUCGAAUCCGAAAGGAUGAGGUAAUCCUCAAACGUUACCACAGUUAUGACUGAGGGCUGCAACUCGCCCUCACGAAUAUGGAAUCCCUAGUAACUGCGUGUCAUUAUCGCGCGGUGAAUACGUCCCUGCUCCU
RNAcentral lists this ribosomal RNA (864 nucleotides) under uncultured archaeon. Its description in RNAcentral is "SSU rRNA". It matches the Rfam family "Archaeal small subunit ribosomal RNA", at positions 474 to 1337 of the family's 1478-position model. The record is from RNAcentral.